This 250-nucleotide ribosomal RNA is filed under the name uncultured bacterium. Its description in RNAcentral is "partial 16S ribosomal RNA". It matches the Rfam family "Bacterial small subunit ribosomal RNA", at positions 524 to 773 of the family's 1533-position model. The record is from RNAcentral.
UACGAAGGGUGCGAGCGUUAUUCGGAAUCACUGGGCGUAAAGGGUGCGUAGACGGUCCAUUAAGUUUGUUGUUAAAGACUCUAGCCUAACUGGAGGGUUGCAAUGAAAACUGGUGAGCUGGAGGGUGAGAGAGAGAAGUGGAAUUCCCGGAGUAGCGGUAAAAUGCGUGGAUCUCGGGAGGAACACCAAUGGCGAAGGCAGCUUCUUGGCUCAUUCCUGACGUUGAGGCACGAAAGCGUGGGGAGCAAAC